RNAcentral lists this ribosomal RNA (500 nucleotides) under uncultured bacterium. Its description in RNAcentral is "partial 16S ribosomal RNA". It matches the Rfam family "Bacterial small subunit ribosomal RNA", at positions 30 to 523 of the family's 1533-position model. The record is from RNAcentral.
AUUGAACGCUGGCGGCAUGCUUUACACAUGCAAGUCGAACGGUAACAGGGAGCUUGCUCCGCUGACGAGUGGCGAACGGGUGAGUAAUGCGUCGGAACGUGCCGAGUAGUGGGGGAUAACGCAGCGAAAGUUGUGCUAAUACCGCAUACGUACUGAGGUAGAAAGUGGGGGACCUUCGGGCCUCACGCUAUUCGAGCGGCCGACGUCUGAUUAGCUAGUAGGUGAGGUAAAGGCUCACCUAGGCGACGAUCAGUAGCGGGUCUGAGAGGAUGAUCCGCCACACUGGGACUGAGACACGGCCCAGACUCCUACGGGAGGCAGCAGUGGGGAAUUUUGGACAAUGGGCGAAAGCCUGAUCCAGCCAUGCCGCGUGUCUGAAGAAGGCCUUCGGGUUGUAAAGGACUUUUGUCGGGGAGGAAAUCCCCAGCGCUAAUACCGCUGGGGGAUGACAGUACCUGAAGAAUAAGCACCGGCUAACUAUGUGCCAGCAGCCGCCGUAA